This 484-nucleotide ribosomal RNA is filed under the name uncultured bacterium. RNAcentral's name for it is "partial 16S ribosomal RNA". It matches the Rfam family "Bacterial small subunit ribosomal RNA", at positions 30 to 507 of the family's 1533-position model. The record is from RNAcentral.
AUUGAACGCUGGCGGCAGGCUUAACACAUGCAAGUCGAGCGGAUGAAGGGAGCUUGGUGCUGGAUUCUGCGGCGGAGGGGUGUGUUAUGUCUAGGAAUUUGCCUGGUAGUGGGGGAUAUCGUCGGGAAAGUGGCGCUAGUACCGUAUAAGUUCUGAGGGAGAAAGUGGGGGAUUUUGGUAUCUCACGCUUUGAGAUGAGCCUAGGUCGGAUUAGCUAGUUGGUGGGGUAAAGGCCUACCAAGGCGACGAUCCGUAACUGGUCUGAGAGGAUGAUCAGUCACACUGGAACUGAGACACGGCCCAGACUCCUACGGGAGGCAGCAGUGGGGAAUAUUGGACAAUGGGCGAAAGCCUGAUCCAGCAAUGCCGCGUGUAUGAAGAAGGUCUUCGGAUUGUAAACCACUUUAAUAUGGAACGAAAGGCAUUAAGUUAAUACCUUGCUGUAUUGACGUUACCAAAAGAAUAAGCACCGGCUAACUUCGUG